RNAcentral lists this ribosomal RNA (268 nucleotides) under uncultured bacterium. Its description in RNAcentral is "partial 16S ribosomal RNA". It matches the Rfam family "Bacterial small subunit ribosomal RNA", at positions 85 to 354 of the family's 1533-position model. The record is from RNAcentral.
CGUCCGGCGACCGGCGCACGGGUGAGUAACACGUAUGCAACCUGCCCUCUUCAGGGGGACAACCUUCCGAAAGGGAGGCUAAUCCCGCGUAUAUCGGUUUCGGGCAUCCGAGAUCGAGGAAAGAUUCAUCGGAAGAGGAUGGGCAUGCGGCGCAUUAGCUAGACGGCGGGGUAACGGCCCACCGUGGCGACGAUGCGUAGGGGUUCUGAGAGGAAGGUCCCCCACACUGGUACUGAGACACGGCCCAAACUCCUACGGGAGGCAGCAG